UGUAGUCAUAUGCUUGUCUCAAAGAUUAAGCCAUGCAUGUCUAAGUAUAAGCAAUUAUACAGCGAAACUGCGAAUGGCUCAUUAUAUAAGUUAUCGUUUAUUUGAUAGUACCUUACUACUUGGAUAACCGUGGUAAUUCUAGAGCUAAUACAUGCUAAAAAUCCCGACUUCGGAAGGGAUGUAUUUAUUAGAUUAAAAACCAAUGCCCUCUGGGCUCUCUGGUGAUUCAUGAUAACUUCUCGAAUCGCAUGGCCUUGCGCCGGCGAUGGUUCAUUCAAAUUUCUUCCCUAUCAACUUUCGAUGUUUGGGUAUUGGCCAAACAUGGUCGCAACGGGUAACGGAGGGUUAGGGCUCGACCCCGGAGAAGGAGCCUGAGAAACGGCUACUACAUCCAAGGAAGGCAGCAGGCGCGCAAAUUACCCAGUCCCGACACGGGGAGGUAGUGACAAUAAAUACUGAUACAGGGCUCUUUCGGGUCUUGUAAUUGGAAUGAGUACAAUUUAAAUCCCUUAACGAGGAACAAUUGGAGGGCAAGUCUGGUGCCAGCAGCCGCGGUAAUUCCAGCUCCAAUAGCGUAUAUUAAAGUUGUUGUGGUUAAAAAGCUCGUAGUUGAACCUUGGGCCUGGCUGGCCGGUCCGCCUCACCGCGUGUACUGGUCCGGCCGGGCCUUUCCCUCUGUGGAACCUCAUGCCCUUCACUGGGCGUGACGGGGAAACAGGACUUUUACUGUGAAAAAAUUAGAGUGCUCCAGGCAGGCCUAUGCUCGAAUACAUUAGCAUGGAAUAAUGAAAUAGGACGUGCGGUUCUAUUUUGUUGGUUUCUAGGACCGCCGUAAUGAUUAAUAGGGACAGUCGGGGGCAUCAGUAUUCAAUUGUCAGAGGUGAAAUUCUUGGAUUUAUUGAAGACUAACUACUGCGAAAGCAUUUGCCAAGGAUGUUUUCAUUAAUCAGGAACGAAAGUUAGGGGAUCGAAGACGAUCAGAUACCGUCGUAGUCUUAACCAUAAACUAUGCCGACUAGGGAUCA
Molecule: ribosomal RNA, 1025 nt
Filed under: uncultured Ophiocordyceps
Lineage: Eukaryota; Fungi; Ascomycota; Sordariomycetes; Hypocreales; Ophiocordycipitaceae
Description: SSU rRNA
Rfam family: Eukaryotic small subunit ribosomal RNA
Source: RNAcentral